This 23-nucleotide microRNA is filed under the name Pan troglodytes (chimpanzee). RNAcentral's name for it is "ptr-miR-635". Its record names the gene ptr-miR-635. RNAcentral also lists the same sequence under 1 other name. Lineage: Eukaryota; Metazoa; Chordata; Mammalia; Primates; Hominidae. The record is from miRBase by way of RNAcentral.
ACUUGGGCACUGAAACAAUGUCC